UACGGGGGAUGCAAGCGUUAUCCGGAAUCAUUGGGCGUAAAGCGCUUGUAGGUUGUUUAAUAAGUCCGUUGUUAAAGACUAGGGCUUAACCCUGGGAAAGCAAUAGAAACUACUAGACUAGAGUAUGGCAGGGGUAGAGGGAAUUUCUAGUGUAGCGGUGAAAUGCGUAGAUAUUAGAAAGAACACCGAUGGCGAAAGCGCUCUACUGGACCAUUACUGACACUCAGAAGCGAAAGCUAGGUUAGCGAAAGGGAUUAGAUACCCCUGUAGUCCUAGCCGUAAACGAUGGAUACUAGAUGUUGCAUUUAAUAUGCAGUAUUUUAGCUAACGCGUUAAGUAUCCCGCCUGGGGAGUACGCUCGCAAGGGUG
RNAcentral lists this ribosomal RNA (369 nucleotides) under uncultured phototrophic eukaryote. RNAcentral describes it as "SSU rRNA". It matches the Rfam family "Bacterial small subunit ribosomal RNA", at positions 524 to 896 of the family's 1533-position model. The record is from RNAcentral.